AUGAGGGCUUUAUUCUGGAAUAUUAGAGGGUUCGGUGCUAGGGGGCGCCGCGACCAACUCAAAGAUCUGGUCCGCUCUAACUCUAUUGAUUUCGUGGGGUUGGUUGAAACUUUUAAGGAAUCUUUUUCCCCUAAUGAUCUCUCUGUUAUCGUGGGCAUGGACAAAUUUAAUUGGCACACGUUACCUGCUUCGGGCCACUCGGGUGGGAUCUUGAUAGGUUCCAAUAAAGAUAUUUUUGAUUUUGUUGCGCUUGAUCAUGGGAUUUUUUGGGCUAGUUCUGUACUCUGUCAUAAAGCCAUGAAUAUCCUCUGCGAGUUUAUCGUCGUUUAUGGGCCGGCUGAUCAUUCUUUGUCUCCUUUAUUUCUUAAUGAGCUUUCUGUGAAGAUAGAAUCCUGCAAUCUCCCGAUGGUUAUUGGGGGAGACUUUAAUCUUCUCUGA
This 438-nucleotide ribosomal RNA is filed under the name Triticum aestivum (bread wheat). Its description in RNAcentral is "partial small subunit ribosomal RNA". The record is from RNAcentral. Lineage: Eukaryota; Viridiplantae; Streptophyta; Magnoliopsida; Poales; Poaceae.